This 413-nucleotide unclassified non-coding RNA is filed under the name soil metagenome. RNAcentral describes it as "partial contains 5.8S ribosomal RNA, internal transcribed spacer 2, and large subunit ribosomal RNA". The stretch from base 1 to 120 matches the Rfam family "5.8S ribosomal RNA", at positions 35 to 154 of the family's 154-position model. The record is from RNAcentral.
GAUGAAGAACGCAGCGAAAUGCGAUAAGUAAUGUGAAUUGCAGAAUUCAGUGAAUCAUCGAAUCUUUGAACGCACCUUGCGCUCUUUGGUAUUCCGAAGAGCAUGCCUGUUUGAGUGUCAUGAAAAUAUCAACCUUGACUUGGGUUUUGUGCUCUAGUCUCGGCUUGGAAUUGGGUGCUUGCCGCUUUUACGAGCGGCUCACCUUAAAUGUAUUAGCUGGAUCUGUCUUUGAGACUAGGUUUGACUUGGCGUAAUAAGUAUUUCGCUAAGGACAUUCUUCGGAGUGGCCUCGUUUCUAGGACGCUUGUCCGCUUUCCAAUACAAGUUCCACCUCGUGGACAUGACUUUUUAUUAUCUGGCCUCAAAUCAGGUAGGACUACCCGCUGAACUUAAGCAUAUCAAUAAGCGGAGGA